RNAcentral lists this ribosomal RNA (468 nucleotides) under uncultured bacterium. Its description in RNAcentral is "partial 16S ribosomal RNA". It matches the Rfam family "Bacterial small subunit ribosomal RNA", at positions 28 to 507 of the family's 1533-position model. The record is from RNAcentral.
GACGAACGCUGGCGGCGUGCUUAACACAUGCAAGUCGAACGGAAAGGCCCUGCUUUUGUGGGGUGCUCGAGUGGCGAACGGGUGAGUAACACGUGAGUAAGCUGCCCUUGACUUUGGGAUAACUUCAGGAAACUGGGGCUAAUACCGGAUAGGAGCUCCUGCUGCAUGGUGGGGGUUGGAAAGUUUCGGCGGUUGGGGAUGGACUCGCGGCUUAUCAGCUUGUUGGUGGGGUAGUGGCUUACCAAGGCUUUGACGGGUAGCCGGCCUGAGAGGGUGACCGGCCACAUUGGGACUGAGAUAGGGCCCAGACGCCUACGGGAGGCAGCGGUGGGGAAUAUUGCACAAUGGGCGGAAGCCUGAUGCAGCAACGCCGCGUGCGGGAUGACGGCCUUCGGGGUGUAAACCGCUUUCGCCUGUGACGAAGCGUGAGUGACGGUAAUGGGUAAAGAAGCACCGGCUAACUACGUG